RNAcentral lists this ribosomal RNA (315 nucleotides) under uncultured eukaryote. RNAcentral describes it as "partial 18S ribosomal RNA". It matches the Rfam family "Eukaryotic small subunit ribosomal RNA", at positions 1470 to 1796 of the family's 1831-position model. The record is from RNAcentral.
CCCUUAGACGUUCUGGGCCGCACGCGCGCUACACUGACCAGUGCAACAAGCAUCCGUCCUUGGCCGACAGGCCCGGGCAAUCUUUGAACGCUGGUCGUGAUGGGGAUAGACUUUUGCAAUUUUUGGUCUUCAACGAGGAAUUCCUAGUAAACGCAAGUCAUCAACUUGCAUUGAUUACGUCCCUGCCCUUUGUUCACACCGCCCGUCGCACCUACCGAUUGAAUGGUCCGGUGAAGCCUCCGGGUUGGCGCGCACCUCGGUGCCGCCGAGAAGUUGGCUAAACCUUACCAUUUAGAGGAAGGUGAAGUCGUAACA